UAUAUGAGGGGAGGGCUGGGCUUCGGCCUGCCCCUCUCUGACUAUUCUACCCGUGUCUUUUGCGUACUUCUUGUUUCCUUGGUAGGCUCGCCUGCCAUUAGGACAACCAUUAAACCUUUUUGUAAUUGCAGUCAGCGUCAGUAAAAUUUAAUCGUUACAACUUUCAACAACGGAUCUCUUGGUUCU
RNAcentral lists this unclassified non-coding RNA (186 nucleotides) under rhizosphere metagenome. RNAcentral's name for it is "partial ribosomal RNA internal transcribed spacer region". The record is from RNAcentral.